Coturnix japonica (Japanese quail) is the source of this 2646-nucleotide long non-coding RNA. Ensembl lists it as uncharacterized. The record is from Ensembl. Lineage: Eukaryota; Metazoa; Chordata; Aves; Galliformes; Phasianidae.
AUGCCGGGCAGACGGCUGUGGUGGGCGCGCUGCUGGCUCGGCGUCUGCCUCUCGCUGCUGGGCGCUGGGGGCGGCGGCGAGCCGUGCCGGGCUCCGUCCUGCGGCGGCGAGGCUCCCCCCGCUCCGUGCCGCGGAGCCCGCUGCGGCCCCAGGGCCGGUCGCCCCUCGCGCUCGUUCCCGCACACCGCCACGCCUCUCCGGCCGCCGCAGGGCAAAGCGCCGUUCUCCGGGCCGCCCCCCGCCGCCAGGGGGAGCGCCGCCGAGCCCUGCCCCGCCGGGGGCUGCGCCUCCAACGCCACCCGCCGCGACUGCCACGGCCUGGAGUGCCGCCUGCCGCCCCGACUGCGGCCACGGCCCCGCGGCCACGGCUGCUCCGCCGCCUCCGAGGGCUGCCCCGAGCCCGCCCUGCUCCGCGCCGCCGACAGAGCCGCUCAGUUCGCGGGAGACGACUUCGCCUACGCCGGGCCCGAGCUGGGCGGCGGAGCCCUGGGGGUGCAGCUCACCUGCGACGUGAAGCCAGGAGAAAAUGAAGUUCCAUCUGAAGACGCCCUAAUACUGCAGCUUCACCUUGCAAAAGGUCAUGAGAAAUUUACUGAAAUGCUCAAAAGCCAGCAGCAGAUCAUUGUAGAUUUACAGCAGAAACUUGCUGAACAGCAACAUGUAUUGGUUAGCCAGCAACGGGAGAUUCUCGAACAGCAAAGAAAAAUGUAUGAGCAAAUGGAUCUGAUCAAAGUGCAGUAUGGCAUGCUUUUUGACACAGUGAAACAAAUGUCAUUUCAGAGUUUGCAAGAAGAUAUUCAAAGUUAUUUUGAAAGUCAUCUUCAAGGACUUCAGAACCAGGUCAGGAAUCAUCUCCAGAAGUCGUACUCUGUGCAUAAAGUAGAAGUGGAUGCAAAAGUGAUAAAUGUAGGGGAAUCUUUGCUGGACUGUGGUCUUUGUGAAAGUGAUGAAUUUUGCAAUUUCCAAAAGACACCUUCACAGUGUGAAAAAUGCACAUUGUGUCCUGCUGGUUUUUUCCAAAUGGCCGAUUGCGCUGCAAACUCUGACCGGAUUUGCCAGGACAGAGAUGAAUGCACUGAAUCUCCUAGCAUUUGUGGCGAGAGAAUAAAAUGCCUGAAUACUCCAGGUGGCUUCCGAUGCCUUGGAAUAGCUGAGAAAGAUGCAGCUCUGGGAUUGUGUGGAGAAGAGUAUUUCUUUAAUAAGGAAAUGCAAGAAUGCCAAGCGUGUUUGAAAUGUGAAGAUGGAAUGGUGGCCAUGCCUUGUUCCACUGUCAGUGACACGGUUUGUUCAGCAACCAGCGAAAGCAAGCUAUCAGAAUCCUGGGCUGCAAACAUCAUUUUACCAUCCGUGAAGUCUGGCAUCUCUCAGGUCUACUCUGGCUUGAACUUGAAGAUAAGGGAAAAGCUUCACUGUGACAUCCUGUCCAUCGAAGAUCACAGCCUGAUAUUCAGGCAACAUGGUUUGUUGUGGACUGACCUAAAUUUUGCAGUAAAACACAACUGCAGGAAUUUUUUGCAACUUUCCUUAAAGCUAAAUGGCACUGAGGAAGGCUAUGAGCUGAGUGGUGUUCGCAUUGAACAGCCAGAAGGAAAAUAUUUCCAGAGCACCAGUUUAAGCAGCGCUGCUGAGGUGGAGCCCAGCCAAACUCUUUCUGUGUUUUUGAGGAGCCCAAACCAAUUCUGCAAUCAAAGUAAAGACUUACAUAUUUACGAUCUUAAUAGCCCACUUAGUCUGUUCUGGUUGUCUCAUGACACGGGUGCUGUAGCAAUCAGUGCACACAUGUCAACAGCAAUGCAUUACCAAACCAACUAUCGACCUACAUUUAAAAUAGUUUCUGUUUCCGACCCUUACAUGCUAAGUUUAUCCCAUGAUGGCAGAGCUAUAAAAUUCACUGAAACAGGCGUUGUCAAAUUUGUGUUGCACCAAGCAUUGUAUUCUAUGGGUCACACUUGUGUUCGGGAGGGUUUCUCUUUAAUUUCUUACAUAAAUAGGAACGGUACCAACAGAGAAUUAAUGAAUGUAUUUAAAUCUGGGGUAAAUUACAGAGAUACAUCAAUAUCUGCUUCUGGGGCCACAAAAGUUGCUGCUGGAGAUCUGAUUAGCUUUGAGAUACUCUCUCCCGCACAAUGUAGUGUUCGGUAUUUUGGAGAUAGUUCUGGGAUUAGUAUGUUUAGCCUUAUCUGGAUACCUUCAGCAGUUUCUAGUGCCAUAUCAGCCACAGUUUCUGUUACAGGCCUGCCUACUGGAGCUGUGAGAAACAAAUUACUGGAUUUCACCCAGAUCUCAUCCAAUGAGAAACAGAUACAGCUGGUUUCAUCUGGACAGCUUGCUCAGAAGUACUUCAUUUUUACAGAAAAGGGAGUUGCCAGUCUUGCAUUUAACUUAAAGCUAAUCCAUUCAUGCAGUGUGCUCAAAGUGACUCUCAACCAGUUGACCAUGGAUCACAUGCAACCCACCAUAAUUGCUCAGCAGAUUGGAGGGCAGAUGCCAGAGGGAAGCAUAUGGACCAGUGUGGCCCUUCGUGCAUCUUUUGAAGUACAUAAUGGAACACUGAUAUCAGUUUCUCUUGACUGCGUACGUGGAAGGAUCAAUCAGAUCACUCGUGAACAUGGAACCAGUGUAUCUAUUUUAUGGAUUUCAUCUUAA